AGAGUGAACGCUGGCGGUAGGCCUAACACAUGCAAGUCGAACGGCAGCACAGUAGGAGCUUGCUCUUACGGGUGGCGAGUGGCGGACGGGUGAGGAAUACAUCGGAAUCUACCUUUUGGUGGGGGAUAACGUAGGGAAACUUACGCUAAUACCGCAUACGCCCUUCGGGGGAAAGCCGGGGACCAGCAAUGGCCUGGCGCUGAUAGAUGAGCCGAUGUCGGAUUAGCUAGUUGGUGAGGUAAUGGCUCACCAAGGCGACGAUCCGUAGCUGGUCUGAGAGGAUGAUCAGCCACACUGGAACUGAGACACGGUCCAGACUCCUACGGGAGGCAGCAGUGGGGAAUAUGGACAAGUGGGCGCAACGCCUG
RNAcentral lists this ribosomal RNA (368 nucleotides) under uncultured soil bacterium. Its description in RNAcentral is "bacterial SSU rRNA". It matches the Rfam family "Bacterial small subunit ribosomal RNA", at positions 26 to 385 of the family's 1533-position model. The record is from RNAcentral.